GGGGCUGUAGCUCAGCUGGGAGAGCACCUGCUUUGCAAGCAGGGGUCAGCGGUUCGAUCCCGCUCAGCUCCACCA
RNAcentral lists this transfer RNA (75 nucleotides) under Neorhizobium galegae bv. orientalis. RNAcentral describes it as "tRNA-Ala". It matches the Rfam family "tRNA". From Rfam's summary of the family: Transfer RNA (tRNA) molecules are approximately 80 nucleotides in length. The record is from RNAcentral. RNAcentral also lists the same sequence under 4 other names. Lineage: Bacteria; Pseudomonadati; Pseudomonadota; Alphaproteobacteria; Hyphomicrobiales; Rhizobiaceae.